GACGAACGCUGGCGGCGUGGAUUAGGCAUGCAAGUCGAAUGGUAUCAGUCCUUCGGGGGUGAGAGAGUGGCGAACUGGUGAGUAACACGUAGGUUAUCUACCCUCAAGGACGGGGACAACCCAGGGAAACUUGGGCUAAUACCGGAUGUGAGCAACUUUUAGUGUUUGAAAGGUGGCGUAAGCUGUCGCUUGGGGAUGAGCCUGCGUCCUAUUAGUUAGUUGGUGAGGUAACGGCUCACCUAGGCAAUGAUAGGUAGGCGGCCUUAACGGGUGGUCGCCCACACUGGGAUUGAGAUACGGCCCAGACUCCUACGGGAGGCAGCAGUCGAGAAUAGUCUACAAUGGUCGGAAGACUGAUAGUGCGACGCCGCGUGAACGAUGAAUCCCUUCGGGGUGUAAAGUUCUUUUAUAUGUGAGCAGUGCUUCUUAUAUUAACAGUAUGGGGAGAGAGAUAUUAGCAUAUGAAUAAGCAACGGCUAACUCCGUG
Molecule: ribosomal RNA, 487 nt
Filed under: uncultured bacterium
Lineage: Bacteria
Description: bacterial SSU rRNA
Rfam family: Bacterial small subunit ribosomal RNA
Source: RNAcentral